RNAcentral lists this long non-coding RNA (283 nucleotides) under Setaria viridis. Its description in RNAcentral is "long non-coding RNA (SVIR_LNC007459)". The record is from RNAcentral. Lineage: Eukaryota; Viridiplantae; Streptophyta; Magnoliopsida; Poales; Poaceae.
ACCUCCUCCAUCUUGCUCUCGCCGGCAUCAUCCUCCAGAGGGGGCAUGUCGGUCUCAGCCUCAGUGGUCUCAUCCUCGUCAAUGCUCAGGCCAAGCUUGAGCAUGCGGUGGAUGCGGCUGCCAAAGGUGUUGGGCUCGUCAAGGCUGAAGCCGGAAGUGAGGAGCGCAGUCUCAAACAGCAGCAUGACAAGGUCCUUAACAGACUUGUCGUUCUUGUCAGCCUCAGCACGCUUGCGGAGCUCCUCCAUGAUGGCGUUCUCAGGGUUGAUCUCCAUGGUCUUCU